This is a long non-coding RNA of Phyllostomus discolor (pale spear-nosed bat), 132 nucleotides long. RefSeq lists it as uncharacterized. The record is from RefSeq and is a predicted model, not a curated record. NCBI's taxonomy places the organism in Eukaryota, Metazoa, Chordata, Mammalia, Chiroptera, Phyllostomidae. The transcript is spliced from 3 exons.
AUUAAGGAUGAUGUUAAUUGUAGCUCUAUAGGCUUCUUAUGAGGAGUUUGGGGUGGAAUUGACUUGGUGGUGGAACACAUCCAUUUCUAGUGCUACAAAUUGCCAGCUUCCUAUGAAUAUACUCCCUUUCUG